GCAAGUCGAGCGGGAACACAAGGGAGCUUGCUCCUGAGGUGACGAGCGGCGGACGGGUGAGUAAUGCCUAGGUAUCUGCCUAGUCGAGGGGGAUAACAGUUGGAAACGACUGCUAAUACCGCAUACGCUCUACGGGAGAAAGGAGGGGAACUUCGAGCCUUUCGCGAUUAGAUGAGCCUAGGUGGGAUUAGCUAGUAGGUGAGGUAAUGGCUCACCUAGGCCACGAUCCCUAGCUGGUCUGAGAGGAUGAUC
RNAcentral lists this ribosomal RNA (252 nucleotides) under uncultured bacterium. RNAcentral describes it as "partial 16S ribosomal RNA". It matches the Rfam family "Bacterial small subunit ribosomal RNA", at positions 57 to 305 of the family's 1533-position model. The record is from RNAcentral.